AAUUACUGCAAAUUUAGUCUUAAACAACACAAAUUUAUUAUCUUUAAGUUCUGUAGGCUAGAAGGCUGCCAUGAGUCUGGCUGGGCUAAGAUCAAGGUGUGGGCGGGGCUGUGUUCCUUUCUGGAAGCUCUUCCUUGUCUUUUCCAGCUACAGGAGACCACCCACUUUCCUUGGCUUGUGGCCUGCUUCCUCCAUCUUCGCAGCCAGCAACUUUGCGUCUCUGACCAUUCUUCCGUGGUGGCCUUUCCCUCUGACUCUCUUCUGCUUCUCUCUUCUGUUUUCCAGGACCCUUGUGGUUCCAUUGGGCCCACGGGAUAACCCACGACCAUGUCCCUAUUCAGAGUCUGCUCGUUAGCAUCCUUAAUUCCAUCUGCGACCUUAAUUCCCCCUUGCCAAGUGAUGACACACUCACAGGCUCCAGCGAUUAAGACGUGGACAUCUUCGGGGUCCAUAAUUCUGACUCCUUCACCCUUCCUGGAAAGGAUUUGGCUCUGUUCUCACGUGGCAGCCAGGAGAGAGAAGGACCCAACUAACAGCCGGCCACCGUCCCGUCUAAGAGAGGCCUGGGCGGAUGCGGGCAGGAAGCAUCAUUCUGACUGGGCAAGGCAGGACUCUUCACAGGGUUCCAGCUGGACCUUUUGGAAAAGAUAAAAUUUUGUGAGAUCUCAAAGGGUGUGUGUGGGGGGGUGUCAGGUGCAUUCCAGGCGAGGGGACCCACAAAGGCAAAGGCAUGGAAGUCUGUGGAAUGCCAAAUCUUCCAGUGCGGCCGCAGCCUCGGAGGGGUUGUCAGCUGAGCAUUUUUAAUGUUGGAGAGGGGCUUUCCUGCAGAAAAAAGCCACCUCCUGCUGCUGGGUUUAAAUUAAUACUGUAUUUAUUAAACUUGUAAAUUUUUUAAAAACCUAGCUUUUCUUAAACAUCCAAAUGCAACUUGCAAAUCGAGUUUUCUAUUUCUAAAUCUACUAAUUUUGUGUAAAAAUAAGAACAAUUACUCUUACUUAUUCUUUGAUGAAUACUUAAUUAACUCACACGUUCAGAUUAAAUUCUAAAAAUGAAUGCCAAUUACAAACUUGGGUAAUUAAAUUCCCUAAUAGAUUUUAAACUACAUUUUACAGAGUUGAAAUAACUGAUUCUCUCCGACACCUCAACCUCUUAAUAGAAGAGACUUGUACAUCUAAUAAGCAGGUCUUUUUCUUUUCUUUUUUUUCUUUACAAACAGGGAGGGGAUGAGGUGUGAGGAUGGCUUCAACCCCCCCACCUUUCUCCAGCCCCCCCAAGCCAAGCCUGUUUUUUCCUAAUCAGCUAAGCAACUCUUAUACACGAAUAGAUGCAACUUAUAAAUAUGAUAAAUCAGUUCUGUUAAAAAUUCAAACGCUGUUUAUGAACUUAGAUCCUUUUAUGCUGUCUCAGUUGUCUAUUGCCUGGUAAUAAAUCACUGGAAAUUUACUGGCUUAAAAUAACAACCAGGACUCUGAGUCAGCGGCCUGGGCCAGGAUAAGCUGGAAGGUUCAUCUACUGGUCUGGCCGGGGUCACCGCUGUGGCUGCGCUCAUCUCACAACCCAGCUGGGGCUGGGGGCCCAGGGUGGCCUCGCUCACAUGACUGGCAGUGGGUGCUGGCUGUCAGCGGACCCCUCGGUUCUGCUCCACGGGGCCCCGCAU
Molecule: long non-coding RNA, 1657 nt
Filed under: Equus asinus (donkey)
Lineage: Eukaryota; Metazoa; Chordata; Mammalia; Perissodactyla; Equidae
Description: lncRNA (ENSEASG00005030693.1)
Source: RNAcentral